UUCGACACACUAUCAUUAACUGAAUCCAUAGGUUAAUGAGGCGAACCGGGGGAACUGAAACAUCUAAGUACCCCGAGGAAAAGAAAUCAACCGAGAUUCCCCCAGUAGCGGCGAGCGAACGGGGAGGAGCCCAGAGCCUGAAUCAGUGUGUGUGUUAGUGGAAGCGUCUGGAAAGGCGCGCGAUACAGGGUGACAGCCCCGUACACAAAAAUGCACAUGCUGUGAGCUCGAUGAGUAGGGCGGGACACGUGGUAUCCUGUCUGAAUAUGGGGGGACCAUCCUCCAAGGCUAAAUACUCCUGACUGACCGAUAGUGAACCAGUACCGUGAGGGAAAGGCGAAAAGAACCCCGGCGAGGGGAGUGAAAAAGAACCUGAAACCGUGUACGUACAAGCAGUGGGAGCACAGAGCAAUCUGUGUGACU
RNAcentral lists this ribosomal RNA (423 nucleotides) under Escherichia coli. Its description in RNAcentral is "partial 23S ribosomal RNA". It matches the Rfam family "Bacterial large subunit ribosomal RNA", at positions 139 to 598 of the family's 2925-position model. Lineage: Bacteria; Pseudomonadati; Pseudomonadota; Gammaproteobacteria; Enterobacterales; Enterobacteriaceae. The record is from RNAcentral.